CCAAAUUCGUUGAGAAUCGGCCAAAUCGUCGACAAUCGGCCUUUUUUUCGGCCAAAUCGUUGAGAAUCGGCCUUUUUUUUCGGCAAAAUAAAUCGAGCAGUUGCAGGGGAAGGACGUGCGUCCGUUGCUCUUCGCUGAAACGUGCGUUCCGUGGUGAUAAUUAAGAAAUCCGCGGUAACUAUUACACAUAACAUAAGUUAUUUCUAUGAUGUGGAAAUAGUUGCCAUGUUUGCAAUCGCUUUUUUGCAAAUGAAGCAGCGUCGCAGAAGAAAAUCGAAGCAACGCAGGGCAGCAGGAAGGCUGAAGCUGAAGUCGUGGAAAAGCAGAAAGAAAUGGGAGAAGACAAAUCGAAAAAGCGCACAUAAGAACUUGGGUGAAUCAUGGAGAUACUUCUGCAAGUGCCAUUGAUAACAGAAAGUAAAAGGAGCGUAAUGAGUGAGUGUUAGGUGGGGUGAGACGUAAAAGCUAGGUGUGAGAAAGGACAAGCAUAAAAGGUGCGCCAAGCGUACCGGAGAAGCAGAUCAACAGCGAAAACCUGGGUGAAAUGCUUCUGAGGACUGACGAAACAUCGAGUAGAAUUACCUUGGCCGCCAAAAGGAUCCUCACCGUUCUUCAGCAGGCAUGGAACGUCGAACAGCGCACCGCUCGGCCCCUCCAAUCCCAGACCACUGAAAGCAGCGCCGAAGGACUCACCAAUGGCCAAAUUGGUGGGAAAAAACUGCGGCAGAACUCUCGACCGGAGACACAGCAACAGCAAAGUCGGCGUCAACAGACACCGGCAACAAUUCACCGGGAGUUCACCGGGAAGAACAACGGCGGCUAAAGAUGGAGGAAAGAUAAUAUCUGUUGAAUUUACUGCUAUCAGUUACGGUAUCGGUAUUGGCAAUAAUUAUUCAUCUCGCCAACAGGAUAAAACAAAACGUUCAAAAAGAAAAGACUGCUGAAACAGUACAAAAAAGAACAGGAACAAACAACAAGGAACAGGAAAAAGAGGAUGAUGUACAAGUAAUAUAAACUGUGAUAGAUUAAAUUAAGAUAGAAACCGUAAGAUUAAGAUAGAUACCCAUAAACAGUUCCUAAUAAAAGAAAUUUGAAACAUACAUUCGUGCUAGCUACGUAGGGUAACAGAAAGGCCAAAUGAUUUCUGUUCUUUGAGAGAUUGGAGUCUGUUACGUGUGCUGUAUCCUAUUUCUACAUUAAGUAAAAGAAACACAAUCGUGCAUUAGUUUAUUUCUAUAGCAGGUUACUCUUACCUUACGCUCUCUCGUUAGCCCCUCGUCUGUUAUGGCCGUUACCUUCACGUCCUCGACUGCACCAUAUGGUUUGAGGGGCCACAUCGCCUGCUCAUUAAUCGGAUACAGCUCCGCCACUUAAUGAUAAAAUAAAAUGAUAAAAUGCUGUUUUGA
Molecule: long non-coding RNA, 1406 nt
Organism: Anopheles darlingi
Lineage: Eukaryota; Metazoa; Arthropoda; Insecta; Diptera; Culicidae
Exons: 3
Source: RefSeq, a predicted model, not a curated record